This is a long non-coding RNA of Notolabrus celidotus (New Zealand spotty), 1481 nucleotides long. RefSeq lists it as uncharacterized. The transcript has 3 exons. The record is from RefSeq and is a predicted model, not a curated record. NCBI's taxonomy places the organism in Eukaryota, Metazoa, Chordata, Actinopteri, Labriformes, Labridae.
GAGCACAUUAAUCUUUCAUGGAGUCUACAUGCUGGUUAAUACUUCACAAAACACAUGAAAUCCAUCAAGCCUUGCGUGUUCUCUCCCUGGUGACUCGCUGUUUGCAGUGGGACGCAGCGGUCCUCUGAAGACCCCCUUGACGCGCCGAAAGUGUCCAUUGCUCAGUCCACCGGUCCAGUCUGUAAAGUGCACGCAGCCCCAGCCAAGCUGCAGCAGCAGCGGCAACAGCAGCAUCCCAAUAGGAGUUCUCAGUACAGAAAUGGGGAGCAGACACUCUGGCAGGUGCGCCCCCGCUUCAUGCACGACGAAGAGGAGAGAAGAAGGAAACAUUUGACCCCCUUUUUCUUUAAUUUUGUUAUAAAUCACCCUCUUUGUGAAUGAAAUUCCGCGGCAAACUCAUCCAGAGCAUGCAGUCUCUUAGUUGUUAUCGUGCGCCAGCACAGGCAGACUGAAAAGGUUCUGAGUCUUUCUCAAGGAAAACACACUCACCCUCUCUCUCUCUCUCUCCUCCUCCUCCUCCUCCUUCUCCUCCUCACCCCCUCCCUCCCCCUCUCUCUCUGUACAAGUGUCUGACUCUCUUUCUCAGGGGCUGCACCGGACCAGAUUCCUGUUGCAGCCUAUAAUAAACAGCUCGUGCCCGUGCGUGGGUCAGGAAUGGGGGGGAAUCAUUUCUGUCCACGCUGUGCUUGAGUAACUCAGAAUUGAAGUGCAAUUCCCCACCUCCCCUCUCCACUCCUUAUUCUUUUCCUUGUCUCCCUUCUUUCGUUUUCUUCUACUAUUUUCCUUUCUUGUCAGGAGAAGAAAAUAUAAUGAACUUUACUGCAAACGAGGCUGAGGCAACAUGUUUGUGUCAAUCUCUCAUCCUCUCCUCGUCCCCUAUCUCUCCUCCUCAUGCUUUGAGGGCUUCAAAGUAAAAGCCCCAUGCUUCUACAAGGUCUGGGUAUCGUCAGGGGAAAAAGGAAAACCUCACUCAGUUGCAACCUCCCGGGUGUAACGAUUAGAUUACAGAUAAAAGGCUCUUUUUCUCCUGCUCGGCCUGUCAAACUGCUGCCGUCAAAGCGCAGCUCGGAGCUGGCUGUGUUUGGCGCUGUUCACCAGCGCGGUGCUGAAACUGUUCCACUGUGAGCACCCACAGAGGAGUCAUGCAUAUUCAGCCCGGGAUUAGGGUUCCUUUUUUGUUGUUCCACAUCAACACUGAACGCUACAGACAGCUCUGGGUUUUGGAGGUGGAAGGACACAGAGGGACAAGCGUGGGAAGGGAGUCCACUGUGUGCUCUUGCUGCGUCUUUUAGCUUGAUUUAUGUGACCAAAAUAAGUGAUUUAUCCUGCAAGCUAAAACAGAAGUUUUAGUUUGUUUUAUUUAAGGGAAGACACCUGUCAUCUGAAGAUGAGAUAUGACUCAACAAAAAUGUCGGACUUUGAUAAGCUACAGUCUUUAGAUUUAGUACAGCCAUCAAUCCAGCUUUAGGGUCUUUAAAUAU